Molecule: ribosomal RNA, 161 nt
Filed under: uncultured bacterium
Lineage: Bacteria
Description: partial 16S ribosomal RNA
Rfam family: Bacterial small subunit ribosomal RNA
Source: RNAcentral
AAUCGCGAAUCAGAAUGUCGCGGUGAAUACGUUCCCGGGUCUUGUACACACCGCCCGUCACACCAUGGGAGUCGGGAAUGCCCGAAGUCAGUGACCCAACCUAUUGGAGGGAGCUGCCGAAGGCAGGUCUGAUAACUGGGGUGAAGUCGUAACAAGGUAUC